AUUUAUAUAAUAUAAAUUUAUUAUAUUUGACUUCCAAUCAAAAAAUCUACACUAUUAGUAUAAAUA
This 66-nucleotide transfer RNA is filed under the name Curculionoidea sp. 15 KM-2017. Its description in RNAcentral is "tRNA-Gly". The record is from RNAcentral. Lineage: Eukaryota; Metazoa; Arthropoda; Insecta; Coleoptera.